RNAcentral lists this unclassified non-coding RNA (160 nucleotides) under uncultured Ascomycota. RNAcentral's name for it is "sequence contains ITS1". Lineage: Eukaryota; Fungi; Ascomycota. The record is from RNAcentral.
ACGAGAACUUGCCCUCCGGGGUAGAUCUCCCACCCUCUGUUUACAUACUCUGUUGCUUUGGCAGGCCCGUCUCCGGACCGCCGGCUUCGGCUGGCCCGUGCCUGCCAGAGGAUUCAAAACUCUGAUAAUUGUGUCGACUGAGUACUAUUAUAAAUAGUUA